GAUCUAGCUCUAGGUCGGGGACACCCUGGAAACGGUGGCUAAUACCGGAUGUGCCGAAAGGUGAAAGAUUUAUUGCCUAGAGAUGAGCUCGCGUCUGAUUAGCUAGUUGGUGUGGUAAGAGCGCACCAAGGCGACGAUCAGUAGCUGGUCUGAGAGGAUGAUCAGCCACACUGGGACUGAGACACGGCCCAGACUCCUACGGGAGGCAGCAGUGGGGAAUUUUCCGCAAUGGGCGAAAGCCUGACGGAGCAAUACCGCGUGAGGGAGGAAGGCUCUUGGGUUGUAAACCUCUUUUCUCAGGGAAUAAGAAAGUGAAGGUACCUGAGGAAUAAGCAUCGGCUAACUCCGUGCCAGCAGCCGCGGUAAUACGGAGGAUGCAAGCGUUAUCCGGAAUGAUUGGGCGUAAAGCGUCCGCAGGUGGCACUGUAAGUCUGCUGUUAAAGAGCAAGGCUCAACCUUGUAAAGGCAGUGGAAACUACAGAGCUAGAGUACGUUCGGGGCAGAGGGAAUUCCUGGUGUAGCGGUGAAAUGCGUAGAGAUCAGGAAGAACACCGGUGGCGAAAGCGCUCUGCUAGGCCGUAACUGACACUGAGGGACGAAAGCUAGGGGAGC
This 612-nucleotide ribosomal RNA is filed under the name Dolichospermum circinale CCAP 1403/21. Its description in RNAcentral is "bacterial SSU rRNA". It matches the Rfam family "Bacterial small subunit ribosomal RNA", at positions 123 to 769 of the family's 1533-position model. The record is from RNAcentral. Lineage: Bacteria; Bacillati; Cyanobacteriota; Cyanophyceae; Nostocales; Aphanizomenonaceae.